CAUUUCCCCCAUUACUCCCUUCCAUACCCCCCCCUCCCUCUCAGUCCCCUUCCCGCAUUUUACCGCGAUUUUCCCCUUUUUCUCCCCCUUUUACCCAUUUCCCCCCUUAUUUAUCCCCCACCCCGCCCAUCCCCUCUCAUCCCUUCUUCCAUUUUCCCCUAUUUCUCCCCAUUUUGCCUGAUUUUACCCUUUUUCUCCCCAUUUUUUCCCUAUUUCCCCCAUUAUCCCCCCCACUCCCCCCCACCCCCUUGUUGUCGUUCCCUAUUUCUCCCCAUUAUCCCCCCCGUCCCCCCCAUCCCCCUCUCAUCCCCUUCCCAUUUUGCCCAUUUUUUCCCCUUUUUCUCCCCAAUUUUUCUCCAUCCCGCCCAUCCCCCCAUCCCUUCUCCAUUUUCCCCUAUUUCUCCCCAUUUUACCCAAUUUCCCCCAAUUUUCUCCCCAUUUUCUCCCAAUUUCCCCCUACUUUCGUCCCCAUUCCCCCCACUCCAUCCCUUCCCCUGCCCAUUCCGUUUGUCCCUCAUUUUGCCCGAUUAUCCCCAUUUUUCUCCCCAUUUGUCUCCCCAAUUUCCCCCCAUUUCCCCAUUCCCCCCUCUCGCCCCCCCUCCCCUCUCCCCGUUCCCCAUUUUACGCCGAUUCCCGUUUUUUUCUCCCAAUUUUUCCCCGUUAUUUCCCCCAUUGAUCCCCCCUCAUCACAUCCCUCUCCCCCCCCCUCAUCCGUGGUUCCCCAUUUUACCCGAUUUCCCCCCAUUUUCUCCCCAUUUUCUCCCCAAUUUUCCCCAUUAGUCUCCCCCAUCCCCCCCCUGCCCCUCUCCCCAUUCCCCUUUACCCGAUUUCCCCGUUUUCUCGCCCAAUUUCCCCGUUAUUCCCCAUUAUUUCCCCCCAUUCCGUCCCUCCCCCCCCCUCAUUGCCGCCCCGCUAGUUGGGGGGGGUCCGUCAUCUGUCCCCUCCCCCCCCUGUUGGUUCCUCUGCGGUCGCGGACGCGGUUUUCGCCCCCCGCAGCGGGCGGGGGGGGCAGCGGCUGCAGCGGUGAGAUGUGGGGGAGGGGGGGGGAUGAUAAAGGGGGGGGGAUAAAGGGGGGGGUUAGGGAGGGGGGGGGCAUCGGUGUGUGUGCCGCUUUGUGCCACCCGCGCCUCAUUGGCGUAACCCCAUUGGUAACCCCCCCCC
RNAcentral lists this long non-coding RNA (1161 nucleotides) under Coturnix japonica (Japanese quail). RNAcentral describes it as "lncRNA (ENSCJPG00005001425.1)". Lineage: Eukaryota; Metazoa; Chordata; Aves; Galliformes; Phasianidae. The record is from RNAcentral.